GGUGGCUCAGUGGUAGAGCGCUUGCCUUGCAUGCAUAAGGCCCUGGGUUCUAUUCCUUAGCACCA
RNAcentral lists this transfer RNA (65 nucleotides) under Dipodomys ordii (Ord's kangaroo rat). It matches the Rfam family "tRNA". Rfam says of the family: Transfer RNA (tRNA) molecules are approximately 80 nucleotides in length. Their secondary structure includes four short double-helical elements and three loops (D, anti-codon, and T loops). Further hydrogen bonds mediate the characteristic L-shaped molecular structure. tRNAs have two regions of fundamental functional importance: the anti-codon, which is responsible for specific mRNA codon recognition, and the 3' end, to which the tRNAs corresponding amino acid is attached (by aminoacyl-tRNA synthetases). tRNAs cope with the degeneracy of the genetic code in two manners: having more than one tRNA (with a specific anti-codon) for a particular amino acid; and 'wobble' base-pairing, i.e. permitting non-standard base-pairing at the 3rd anti-codon position. Lineage: Eukaryota; Metazoa; Chordata; Mammalia; Rodentia; Heteromyidae. The record is from Rfam by way of RNAcentral.